GCAGCUGUCCAAACCACCCAAGGAGAAGCAGGAGCCAGGGACAGCCAACUCCAGCUAGCUGGGCCACCACGGCCCUCCCCUCCCCCACGCGGGCCCGGCAGGGGAAGAGUUAAUCGCCAUCAGCUUUGGCUGAUGGUUCAGGCUCCAAAGUUCAGUCCCAGUCUGAGCCACCCCGGAGGAAUUGUAAAUCUCAGGGCAGUAUUUAACAAAACAAAAGCAACCUAGAAUUACAUGCAGGUUUGGUUUUCUACAGUACAUAUUUACUUAAUCCCCUAGGGCCGGCUUGAGACAGUCUGGCCUGCCAGCCUCCAAUCUCUCUCCUUUGCUCUAGUCACCGGGUGAGUCAGCCUAGCUUGGGUCAGAGUUGGGUGACAGCCGGCUCACCCUCCCCACUCUCGGGCACCAGGUCUGGGAAAACCAGAGGAAGAGAUGGUGUAACCACCAAAAAGCUAAAGACAGCCCUGGGGAGGGGGAGGGCCCUCCCCACAGUGCCACCUCCCCAUUUACUGGGGAGGGAUCCCCUCUGGGGCUGCAUCUGCGGGGGGGGGGAGGGGGCACGGUUGAAGGUGAGAACAAGGGCGCUUUAUCAGCUGCCAUUACCCUUGUCCCCCUCUUUCUAGAUUUCCAAAUACCUGGGCGUGGGAGUGCAUGUCAGGCCUGGCUAGACAUCCAAGACCGCCCCCCACCCCCCUUUCAAACCCAAACCAAGUAUCCCCUCUCUUCGUGCCUCCAGAGCUGCAGCCGCCCAGGUUGGGGCUGGGAAGCGGGUUGCCAAGGAAAAUACGAAGCCAGCUAGCAGGCGGCUCCCAGCUCUACCCAGGAGCGCACACACCCUGCACUCACCAGGGUGGCGGCAUCGAGGGGAAGGCGAGGGGGGAAAACACAACACCUUCCUUCGGGGAGGGAGGAAUGUGGGAAAUGGGUGGGUCUCCUAAGUUUCGGGGUGGCGGCGAACGGCCAACCGGCCGCCGAUCCCAAAGGAGCGGACCAGCUCCGGACCUGCCAGAAAAGACAGUCUGGUGCCCGGGAAAAUUUACAAGGUGAAACUGGCUAGCUCAGCACUCGCGGGUGGCGCCGAGAAGUAGGGUGGCCGGCGACUCCUCUGGGCGCGGGUUGCGGCUGCGGCAGCAGGUGGGCGUCCCCCGCACCUUCGGCCCCCACCCCCUGGAGUCGCCGUGCCCCGGUACCUUUCUGGCGCCGCGUUCUGCGAACUCGCGAGCGAGCUGGCGUCCGAUGCCUCUCCCGCCGCCGGUGAUGAGGACGUUCUCCCGCGACAGGUCCCGAAGCUUGGCGGGCAGCACCAGUCCGACGGCUGCUUUGGCCACCAGAUAGAUCAUCUGCAGAGGGAACACCACCAACGCGCCCAGCCAUUUCCACACCAUCCUCCGCGCCGCGGAGACAGGCAGGGGGGGCGAAACUCCCCGGACCGAGCAAAACAGGAAUUAAAAAAAGAAAACACCCCAAACAAUAAUAAAUAAACCGAAUGAAAGGGGGAGAGAGGCGUCCCACCUGGCCACUGUUGAAAUCACCUCUUCCCAAAAGCAAAGCACCGGGUGAGAAAAAAAAAAAAGAAAAAAAAAAAAAAGAAAAAAGAAAAAGAGAGAGAGAGAGGAAAAAAAAAAAAAAGAUAAAUCCUCCUCGGGAGGAGAAAAACCGUCUGAGAAGGUUGGGACGGUAAGAGGGCUGGAGGGGAAGCCGGAGGUGGAAAGUUCUAACAAGAAGUUUCUUGCCCCAGCAGCCGUUUAGGCUGGGGAAUUCUCAGGUAAUGUUUACAGGCUGACAGAGGAGUUUAGGCAAGGGGAAAAAAAAAAAGGCACCAACCACACGCACGCACCCUGCUACAGUCCCGCGGUUUCAAAGUGCAAGAUUUAAAAAAAAAAAAAAAAAAAAAAAAAAAAAAAGGCCGUUUCCAAAUUGUAGCGCCCCCCCCACCCCUUCUCCAGGAAAAAAAAAAAAAAAGUGGUGGGGGGGGGAGUGCUUGCAGCUCCCAAUUUCAGCCCGCGAAAGUCUCCCGACUCAUUGCUAUUCUUGGGCUCAGGAAAUUGCUUAAACGCGAUCUGAUUGCCAGCAACGUGCAGGAGAAGUGGGGGGUCCCGGUGUCAGUUUCUUUACGUGCAUGGCUCGCCCUGGCGCGCGCUCGCUCUCUCCGGCUCUCUCCCUCCCUCUCCCAGCAGAGGCCGGGAGUUGCCGCUCGAUCCGGCUCCCUUUCUCUCCCCUGUUAGCAUUUAUUGCCUUCUUUUUGUCCUUUCCAACUUGGAGAGGGCCCGGGUGCGGAGCGCGUGUGGAUCGGACGCCCUCGUCAGCGCCGCCUUAUUCAUUCGCUCCCGGGGCAGCAGCGGCGCGGAGCGAGAGGGCUGCCCUUUUUUCCCCCCCAUUUUUUAAUACCCCAUUAAGUCUGAUUGACAGUUAAAGUUGUGCGGAGGCUCCACUACCGUUCCUCUGAGUGGCUGCCGCGGGCUCCCCUCCCCCCGCGCAGUGCGGGGCGCGCGCGCGGGCGCGCACCCGGGCUCGCUCCGACUCGCGCUCUCCCGGGCAGGCUCCCCUCUCUGCAAGCCGGGACUUGCCGGCGGUGUCCCUGAGGGCUCGCGGCAGUAACUCGAACACGCUGGAACCGACUCCUGCGAACCGGCUCCCUCCUCGAGACAUUCCUCCCGGUCGGGGACGCGGGCUCCCCGAGCUGGGGCGCCCGCGGGCCAGGUGCCGGGUCCUGCGCGCGGGGCAGGCCCGGGGGAGCUCGCGCACGCUUUGAUCCAACCAGGUCGACCAGGGGUUAUUUCGGGCUCUUUGGUCACCCCCUGCCUCCAGGGAGAAUACCUCCUCUGCCGGAGGGUGGGAGCCUGCUAUUUAGAGAUGUCUGCUGCGGGAAGUCUGGGAGGUGAGUCACGAAAAGGCAGCCCCAGUUAAAAGUGCUGAUGGGAUUUGCCUCCCACUGCCCCUGACCGUCCCAGGCCAGCAGGGGAGGGGAUGAGCCGGGCAACUACCCUGUAAUCUGGGACAGUGGCUCCCCAGCGCCAGGCUUGUUCAGGCGAGGAAGCUGGGCCUCACCCCCAGACGUUCUGAUUCAGCAGGGCUGGGUGCACUGGAAUCCCUGUGUUCCACCUGGUAAUUCUGCUGCGAAUCCGGUGAGAGAACUGCUUUCAGAAAAGCUGACUCCGGGAGGUGGCGGCUGGGGAUUCCACAAAGACCCUCUAGUCCUGGGGAGAGGUUCUGCAGGUGAGGGUCCUCCUUCCCGGGGAGUUGGGAAACUCAUCUGGACAGCCACUGGAAGAACAGGAAAGGCUUGGAUGAGUGGGGUUGGAGGAGAAAUUCUCCUACACUGAGGGUUUAUAUUCUGACAUUUAAUCCUCCCAUUGACCUUGCAACGGGGGUAUUAGUAGCUCCGUUUUCCUGGUUACCCGGCCAGAAACUGCAGGAGGGAGGGAUUCCAACAUGGACCUGAUUUCUCCUCCCACCCCACCCGACUCGGGCACAAGCGGGCGACAGAGGUGGAGGAUGACGUUCCCUCCUGUCUCCAUUCGACCCUCCACAAGUGUGACAGAAGGGGCGGGCCGUCGCCCUCAUUCCCACUCCCAGACUGGGGCUAAAGAUAGGACUCUGUCGAAGUGCCUGACACCUCCCACCUUGGAGGUCUGUAAAAAUGGAAAAGAAAUCCCAACCUGAGAAGAGACCGGCCCUUUCCAGCCGCCGCCACGCCUGGUGUCCGCGGGCCUGUUAAUCAAUCAGCCCCUGGGAAAGUCUGGAGCUGGAACCCCACCCCCCUCCCCGGACUCCGCCUGUUAUCAUCCCUUAUCCUCGGAACCGCCUAGUGGCUUGCCUGCGACACUGCACCUCCAAGCUGCCCCAGCCAAGGCCUCCCAUGUUUCUGCUCACUCCCCAGCUAUCCUUUUUCUUCCAGACCUUUCUCCUACGUAGUGGCAACACCCCGAGCCUAAAAGGGCCUGCGAAGAUCAUAGCCCCACCUCCCCACAUGCCUGCUGCUUUAUGGAGGAGGAAACUGAGGCACAGAGAUGUUAAGCAAUUCAUAAACACCGUGGCAUGUUCACCUAUAUCCCCUGGUCCCCCACAUGUGACCUGUCCCCUUCCGACGCCAGGCCAGCUGGGGGACCACUGGGUUCUGCCUACAUUUCCCCUGGGUGUGUCCUUGGGAUGGAAGGCAGGCAGUGGGCAGACAGGAGGUUGAGGACUCACGUUGACCUUCUGGGUAUCAGGUCCCUCAACACAUACUCUCAUUUAAAAAAGGAGCCGGUCCGCAGAGGUGGGUGUCCUCACACCCAUUUGACGCGGGAGGAAACAGGCACAGCAAAUCCAAGUGACUCACGAAGGCCACAUGGGAUGGUGCCCUUUUCUUUCCCAGCCGUCAGCUUUGGGGUGAAAUCAGAAUGAAAAGGAACAAGUCAGGCGAUCCUAAAAGGUGCUGGGGGUUGGCUUAUGGCCGGGAAGCAGACAGCUUUUUUCUGCUUGUUCCACCUUCAGGAUGUGGAUUUUGUGGGCCUGGCAUCCCCGUGGGCCUCAGGUUUCUUCUGUCAUCAGCUCCCCCAUAGAGGUGUUGUCACCUCCUCUGUAGAGCAUCCCCCCCGGAUCCUGAGAAGGAUGAGGUUGAAGGGGCACCGGGCUGGGGGGUGUCCAGUCCAGCAGGUGGGCCCAGAGGGUCCCUGUGGCUUGGCUUUGGUGAGAAAUGCAUGGGCAGGACCCCUUCCUGUCGCCCCCAUCCCUUGUCCUUUGCUCUUGGUACCCCUCCUCCCUUAGUUUCCUUGGGGGCAGGGGGUGAGGAAUUUAACUUCAGGGCGAAGUUUGAAAUUUCACAUCCCAGCCCAGGGAGAGGGCCCCACAGUGCCUCCCCUCCACCACCCACCAAAAAAAAAAAAAAAAAGAAAAGAAAAACGUGAAAGGAGCCUUUGUGGGUUGGAUGGAGUGGGGGGUGAGCUGUAGCCUGGAGAACUAACUUUUUCCAUGACUCAGCUCCCCUGGCACAGGGCAGGCACAGGAGGUACAGAGACCCAGCAGGGCAGUUUGGGACCUGCCUCCUAGUCCAGAGCCAGCCCGUGUCAGGGUUAGAGGUGGGCCCCCAGGAGAGCCUCCCCUGAGAUCAGCAGGGGAACUUGCUGGCCCUGGAUAGGCCACGAGGCUGUAACCAUCUCCCCCCGCCUCACUGCCCACUGAGUCCCCUAUUUUUUACUUAUUGGCAUCCCCAGUGCCAAGCACAUGAAUGUUCAUGGCACUUUCCUUUGCACCACCUCAACUGAGAAACUGGAAAAAUAAACGGGCAUCAAGCCUUGCCUUUUAUUUGCGAGACUCAGAGAAGUUAAGAAAGUCACCCAAGAUCACACAGCUAGGAGAUGGAGAUGGGACUUGAACCCUGGUCAAAUGCUCUAAGUUCUGUCUACUUUAUCCAGGGAUGUCUCUCAGAACGUGUAGGACUCCCUGGGGUGCUGGUCAAAAUACAGAUUCCUGGGCUUCCAGCCUAGACUAGUAGGGUCAGGGCCCACGAAUGUGCAUACAGGCCAGGCAGGAGAUUGUUGGGCACCCAA
This is a long non-coding RNA of Felis catus (domestic cat), 5528 nucleotides long. RefSeq lists it as uncharacterized. Lineage: Eukaryota; Metazoa; Chordata; Mammalia; Carnivora; Felidae. The transcript is spliced from 3 exons. The record is from RefSeq and is a predicted model, not a curated record.